Rosa chinensis is the source of this 222-nucleotide long non-coding RNA. RefSeq lists it as uncharacterized. The transcript has 3 exons. The record is from RefSeq and is a predicted model, not a curated record. Lineage: Eukaryota; Viridiplantae; Streptophyta; Magnoliopsida; Rosales; Rosaceae.
CAGAACUCGAUAAACAUUUACAAUGCCAGUGGAAACCCCCAACUCUCCAAAGUUUCGGAUGCGGCACCGAAACAGAUGCACAUGCUCCUCAGUCUGGCCUAUCUAAUGGGUCUUCUACAGGCAAGGUCAGGAUGGUGUUGAAGGUGGAACCUCUUCCAAAUGGAUCUGGCCAUUUCUUUAACCUCACCCUUGGGUAGAGCUUGAGAAACUCUUAGAUGACUC